Molecule: ribosomal RNA, 504 nt
Filed under: uncultured bacterium
Lineage: Bacteria
Description: partial 16S ribosomal RNA
Rfam family: Bacterial small subunit ribosomal RNA
Source: RNAcentral
GAUGAACGCUAGCGACAGGCUUAACACAUGCAAGUCGAGGGGCAGCACGGGAGUAGCAAUACAACUGGUGGCGACCGGCGCACGGGUGAGUAACGCGUAUGCAACCUACCUAUCAGAGGGGAAUAACCCGGCGAAAGUCGGACUAAUACCGCAUAAAACAGGGGCACCGCAUGGUGAUAUUUGUUAAAGAAAUUCGCUGAUAGAUGGGCAUGCGUUCCAUUAGGUAGUUGGUGAGGUAACGGCGCACCAAGCCGACGAUGGAUAGGGGAACUGAGGGGUUGGUCCCCCACACUGGUGCUGGGACACGGACCAGACUCCUACGGGAGGCAGCAGUGAGGAAUAUUGGUCAAUGGGCGAGAGCCUGAACCAGCCAAGUCGCGUGAAGGAAGAAGGAUCUAUGGUUCGUAAACUUCUUUUGCAGGGGAAUAAAGUGCAGGACGUGUCCUGUUUUGUAUGUACCCUGAGAAUAAGGAUCGGCUAACUCCGUGCCAGCCGCCGCUGUAA